CUGGGGAGGAGGGUCCAGAAAACCUAUGGCUCCCUCAGAAGUGGAACAACGGCCUGAUGGGCCACUUGCUGGGCACCAGUACUGGCCCCAGUCAUCCCGCCCGUGUUCUGUCUCUUGACCUCCCUAGCCAUCCCUGUUCCUCCCCACGGAGGGAGCAUGAGAAGGCACACCCCUCUGGACAGUCCCUGUGGCACUCAUGGCCUAGGGCUGUGAGUCAGUUGGGGUCAGCCCAGGCGCCUGUCCAUACUGCUUCCAGACUCAGGGAGGAGCCAGGCAGAGCCCGUAUCUCUCUGGGGCUGUCCCCAGGGUUGUGGGAUAGACCUGUUUAAAGAGGCAUCUGCUGUGUGCCACCCCUUGUAGCUUUAGGAAUUGUUUGCUUUUGUCCUAAGGAUCUCUUGAGAAGACCGGAUGAACCUCAACCUGAGGGUCACCAGCCCUUGGGACAUGGGGGCAGGGACAGGCACUGUAGAGCCACCAGUUCCCUGGGGCCUACCGUGAGUCAGGCCUGAUAAAGAAAGUGCAGGCCAGUGCAGGGGAGGGCCCCCUCUGUCCUCUCUGCACAGACCCCUGUCCCAAGCCACACAGACAGCGAGCCUUGUGCAACUCCUGGCCUCCUGCAGAGCCCCAGCCUGUCUUUGACCCACAUUGUCUCCUUUCUCCAGGAAGGCAGCUCUCCCCCCAGGAGGCCUGAGCAGCUCAUGCCCUCACCCAGCACGGCCCAGGCUGGAGGAUCUUGCCCAGGGUAGAGCCGGUCCCCCUCCAAGGGCACAGUUAGCACCUCUGGAGACACACUGGAGAGGGUGCUAUGGGCAUCUGUUAAGGUAGAGGCCAGAGAUGCUGCUACAGGUCUCACACCACCACCAAGAGGCACCUGGCCUCCAAUGUCCACAGUCAAAGCCCUGGCAGCCUGCAUGGCCAGGGGAGGGUUGGGAACAGGCCCGACAGUGGGGAGGAACACCCCGCUCCCUGCCCUCCUCCCUGCAUACCAGCUGUGGUGUCCCCCACAGGCUAUGGGGGCUCCAGCCACCUCAGCUUCCAGGAGCUCGGGAGCAACCUGGGGGCUGCUGUCCUGGGGACCCCUCGCCUGUCACUAACGGGGAGGACUGGGACAGGCUCCAGCAGGAGCCCACCGUCGGUAGGUUCCGAGGUGGAGGGAAGUCUCUGCCCUCAGGAACCACCAUCCCAAGAGGGCCUGCCACAUCCCAAGAGGGCGAGUCCCUCACUGUGGCCACCUGCAGGCUGUACCCCGUCCUAGAGUGAGGUGGGAGCUCCACAGAGGGGCUGAGGCCCAAGUAGGGAAAGGGCAUUCGGGCAGAGGGGCA
RNAcentral lists this long non-coding RNA (1322 nucleotides) under Marmota monax (woodchuck). Lineage: Eukaryota; Metazoa; Chordata; Mammalia; Rodentia; Sciuridae. The record is from RNAcentral.